This 497-nucleotide ribosomal RNA is filed under the name uncultured bacterium. RNAcentral's name for it is "partial 16S ribosomal RNA". It matches the Rfam family "Bacterial small subunit ribosomal RNA", at positions 28 to 507 of the family's 1533-position model. The record is from RNAcentral.
GAUGAACGCUGGCGGCGUGCCUAAUACAUGCAAGUCGAGCGAACAGACGAGGAGCUUGCUCCUCUGACGUUAGCGGCGGACGGGUGAGUAACACGUGGAUAACCUACCUAUAAGACUGGGAUAACUUCGGGAAACCGGAGCUAAUACCGGAUAAUAUAUUGAACCGCAUGGUUCAAUAGUGAAAGACGGUUUUGCUGUCACUUAUAGAUGGAUCCCCGCCGCAUUAGCUAGUUGGUAAGGUAAGGGCCUAUCAAGGGAACGAUGCGUAGCCGACCUGAGAGGCUGGUCGGCCACACUGGAAGUGGGACACCGUCCAGACUCCUACGGUAAGCAGCAGUAGGGAAUCUUCCGCAGUGGGCGAAAGCCUGACGGAACAACGCCGCGUGAGUGAUGAAGGUCUUCGGUUCGUAAAGCUCUGUUAUUAGGGAAGAACAAAUGUGUACGUAACUAUGCACGUCUUGACGGUACCGAAUCAGAAAGCCACGGCUAACUACGUG